CCUAAAUCGGAUUAAUGUCACCUAAAAAAGAAGAAAUUGACAGAUGACAGCUGUCAAUUUAAUUUAUAACCUAUUAAACACUAUGUUUAAUCCACUUUAAUCAUUGAUUAGGUAAUGUUUUAAUGUUUACUUAGGAAUAUUUAUGUCAGGGAACAAUAAAUAAUGACAAUAAUAAUAAUAUUUGAACAAAAAGAUAUUUAAUAACAACAAAAAAUGGCGCUAGCACAGUUUAAUAAAUCCCUAGAUUCCAAAAAAAAUCCCUCCAGAGCUCCAAAAGCUUGAAAAAAUCCCUAGAUUCGGGGAAAAUCCCUAGACAUGGUAACCCUGUGUGAUAAUAAAGCCUAAGACUACAAUUGAGUUUUAAUUUCAAUAUUUUUUAUAAAUAUGCUAUAAUAUACCACAGUGUUCUGAACUUUUUUUGUUACAUCCUGUAUAUUAAAUAAUAAUGAAAUUAGGCAAUCCAAACCACGUGACCUCUGGUUGGCACACAAACUAACAAAGAGGUUAUGUUUGUAUCUAUUUUUCAAUAAUUUUUCAUUGUUUAUCGUCGUAUUUUGGAUUCAUUUGGAUUUCGUUUCCUGUUUUUGCGAACUUUAUAAACUUUACCACAAUGCAAACUGAUUAUUUAAGGAAAUUAUUAUUGGAAACUCCAGAUGUUGCGAGAAAGAUAUUUAUUGAAGCUGAAAAUAAUUGGGGAUUUAGAUCCAUACGCAAUUCAGUCAGAAUUGGAUUUUACAGUAAAGUGCAGUCCAUCAAGUUACUAUUAUAGAUAUUUAUACAUAUACAUAUCUGGUGGAGUCUGAUAUGUCACAGUUGCUACUCUAAGCAGCAGAUGAAAGCAUACAAAAGCCUUCAGGCACAUAAAUAUUUUACAGCUGGAUUUGUUUUGAAUGGAGUAAAAAUUGUUAAUGAUUUCCUGAUUUCCAUAUUAUUGUCGGAAAGGUGAAUAUUUCCAAAAAUCUAAUGCUAAAUGACUAAAUGCUUGGGUGGGGUGAUAGCCAGUUCUGAUGACAUAGCAAAUUCACAUUGUAUGCGUAUGGCCGGUAAUAGUGAAGUCUGCAGCCAUAUUGCAGCAAUCCUAUUUUUAGCUUAGUAUGCUCAGGGCAAGACAGACGAAGAAGAACCCAAUGUAUGUACAUAUGUUACAGCUACAUGGUUUGGAGAUAGCAACAUAUCGAUACUUUUUUGGCAAAGUAACGUAAGUGACAUUUUUGGCGAAAAUCAUGUUUUUCCAUUAAACUAACACUAUUAUUAUUUAGAAGGUACUGCCAAAGUGUAGUAAGCCUAGAAUUACUUUAAACAUAAUAUAUGUAUGGGCUUACUACACUUUGGCAGUGCCUUCUGAACAAUAAUAGCGUUAGUUUAAUGAAAAAACAUGAUUUUCAAAAAUGUCACUUACGUUACUUUGCCAAAAAUGUAUCGAUAUGCAUUCUCUGAUGAAAAACUAAUGAAUUUUGAAACUGUUCGGUCAGAGUGCUUGUUGCACUCACUAAACGAAUUGAAAUAUAAGAUGGCUUUGGCAUUGUGUUUUAGUGAUAUGAAAAUGGUUAUUCAUUUUUAAUUAUAAUGUACUUCUUCAUCAUGAGUAAUUAUGUAUUGGUCUUUUAAAUGUGUAUUUAUUUUUGUAAUUAGUAUCAACUUGUAAUGAUAAUAUACAUUUAUCGUUUAAGGUAUGACUAUGUUUUGACUCUAAAAUAAAUGUUUUAAAAAUCAAA
RNAcentral lists this long non-coding RNA (1715 nucleotides) under Diabrotica virgifera virgifera (western corn rootworm). RNAcentral's name for it is "uncharacterized LOC126884704". Lineage: Eukaryota; Metazoa; Arthropoda; Insecta; Coleoptera; Chrysomelidae. The record is from RNAcentral.